Molecule: unclassified non-coding RNA, 373 nt
Filed under: soil metagenome
Description: partial contains internal transcribed spacer 2 and large subunit ribosomal RNA
Rfam family: 5.8S ribosomal RNA (bases 1-119)
Source: RNAcentral
GAUGAAGACGUAGUGAAAUGCGAUAAUUAAUGUGAAUUGCAGAAUUCCGUGAAUCAUCGAGUCUUUGAACGCACAUUGCGCCUCAUGGCAUUCCGUGAGGCAUGCCCAUCUCAGCGUUAGAAAAUAUUCUCAAAUUUUAGUUUUGUGCUAAAAUUUGGAUCAUGUCAAGGAAGCUAUUACUAUUAUUGUGAUCGCUCUUUGGAAAUUGAUAGGUCUUUGAGUUGCUACUCAUAGAACGUGAUGAAUCUUUCUUCGUUCUAUUGUAAUUCACUCUGGUAGUCCUAAAACUUGUAUGCCUGUGGCAUAUCUUGUAAUUUGACCUGAGAUUGGGUAGGGAUACCCGCUGAACUUAAGCAUAUCAAUAAGCGGAGGA